Podarcis lilfordi (Lilford's wall lizard) is the source of this 74-nucleotide non-coding RNA. Lineage: Eukaryota; Metazoa; Chordata; Lepidosauria; Squamata; Lacertidae. The record is from the annotation of a GenBank genome assembly.
UGGGAUAGCUCAGUUGGUAGAGCAUGAGACUCUUGAUUUCAGGGUCAUGGGUUCGAGCCCUACAUGGGGCAAAA